RNAcentral lists this ribosomal RNA (194 nucleotides) under uncultured bacterium. RNAcentral's name for it is "partial 16S ribosomal RNA". It matches the Rfam family "Bacterial small subunit ribosomal RNA", at positions 337 to 524 of the family's 1533-position model. The record is from RNAcentral.
GCCUACGGGAGGCAGCAGGGGGAAUAUUGGACAAUGGGCGAAAGCCUGAUCCAGCCAUGCCGCGUGUGUGAAGAAGGUCUUCGGAUAGUAAAGCACUUUAAGUUGGGAGGAAGGGUUGUAGAUUAAUACUCUGCAAUUUUGACGUUACCGACAGAAUAAGCACCGGCUAACUCUGUGCCAGCAGCCGCGGUAAU